AGAGAAGCAGCAAAACUGCAAGCUGCACAGAAAAAUAUAAGAGAUGGACAGCGCAGGGAGAGACUGGCGGGGAAGCACAGCAAUACAAAAGAAAAGCUCCAGAGAGCAAGGCAGCAAGAAAAUUAGAGGCUUCACUCCAUUUCUCUCGGUUAAAUCUUUCCAAACUUAUAUUUUAUUUCUGUUUUAAUAAUGUGUAACUAAUUUUAUUUUGGCUAGAGGUUAUUUCAAAACCAUGAAUAUAUUUGUAAUAUGAAUUGAUUACCUUCGGUUGUGAUUUCAUAAGUUGUGAAUUCAAUUUACUUAUCCGUUUGUAUAAAAACUGAUUUGUGUAUGUUGGUUGAGAGUGCACGCUUAAUUUACAUGCAUGAAUUUGAUGCUAGAAUAUAAGUGAAUUUCACCUAAUCGUUAUGAACUUAUAUUCACAAGUAGUAAAGGUUGCUAGUCACAAUCACGUUAAGUAAAUUCUUGGCAUAAGUUUCAUGCAAAUCAUAGUAACGAGUGCCUCGUCAAUGCUUAUGUUUUUCAUAGAACUUAAUGAUUCUUGCUUGUAUCUCUAUUAUGCAAUUCAUGUAGAGAACUUGUAGGGAAUGUUUUGGGUUGUCGUAUGCAAUCAUCCAACCCAAUAACUUGUGGAAAAAACUGAGGGUUAAUUAGUGCAAUUCACGGUUAAUUUGGGGCGUUGAGAUUUUACAAUUUUAUUGAAAGAACAACUGAAAAUCAAUUUAGGUUGCAUAUGUGUCAUGUGUGGAGAAAAACCCUCUAGCUAGUCCGUCAUUUAUCAUUUCACCUUAAUUUCAUGUUUUUGUCAAUUCUGUAAUUUAAUUAAGUUUAAUUUACUUUUCAUCAAAACCAAACACCCAUCCAUUAUUAAAUUAUAUUUUUUAGUUAGUUUUCUUUAUUGUUAGUCUUUUAAUUUAAUUUCCGUCCAUUUCAGUUCCUAGUGUUUAAUUUAAUUGUUUUCAUUAUUUUGAGUCAUUUUAAGUGUGUUUCGAGUUAUUAGAGUUUUUAGCCUAAUUUUGUGUCCUUGAGUCUUAUUUAAUAUUUUUAAAUUAAUUUAGAAUAGAUUAGCAAUCCCUCCUAAUCCCCGGCCUAGAACGAUACCCUACUUACAUCUAUACUACAAUUGUUCAAAAGAGGGUUUAAUUUUGUGUGUUAACUUAUUUUUCACAUCAAAUUUUGGCGCCGUUGCCGGGGAUAUGAGAGAAGCAGCAAAACUGCAAGCUGCACAGAAAAAUAUAAGAGAUGGACAGCGCAGGGAGAGACUGGCGGGGAAGCACAGCAAUACAAAAGAAAAGCUCCAGAGAGCAAGGCAGCAAGAAAAUUAGAGGCUUCACUCCAUUUCUCUCGGUUAAAUCUUUCCAAACUUAUAUUUUAUUUCUGUUUUAAUAAUGUGUAACUAAUUUUAUUUUGGCUAGAGGUUAUUUCAAAACCAUGAAUAUAUUUGUAAUAUGAAUUGAUUACCUUCGGUUGUGAUUUCAUAAGUUGUGAAUUCAAUUUACUUAUCCGUUUGUAUAAAAACUGAUUUGUGUAUGUUGGUUGAGAGUGCACGCUUAAUUUACAUGCAUGAAUUUGAUGCUAGAAUAUAAGUGAAUUUCAC
RNAcentral lists this long non-coding RNA (1597 nucleotides) under Malus domestica (apple). Its description in RNAcentral is "long non-coding RNA (MDOM_LNC005452)". Lineage: Eukaryota; Viridiplantae; Streptophyta; Magnoliopsida; Rosales; Rosaceae. The record is from RNAcentral.